GACGAACGCUGGCGGCGUGCUUAACACAUGCAAGUCGAGCGGAUGAGUGGAGCUUGCUCCAUGAUUCAGCGGCGGACGGGUGAGUAAUGCCUAGGAAUCUGCCUGGUAGUGGGGGACAACGUUUCGAAAGGAACGCUAAUACCGCAUACGUCCUACGGGAGAAAGCAGGGGACCUUCGGGCCUUGCGCUAUCAGAUGAGCCUAGGUCGGAUUAGCUAGUAGGUGAGGUAAAGGCUCACCUAGGCGACGAUCCGUAACUGGUCUGAGAGGAUGAUCAGGCACACUGGAACUGAGACACGGUCCAGACUCCUACGGGAGGCAGCAGUGGGGAAGAUUGGACAAUGGGCGAAAGCCUGAUCCAGCCAUGCCGCGUGUGUGAAGAAGGUCUUCGGAUUGUAAAGCACUUUAAGUUGGGAGGAAGGGCAGUAAGUUAAUACCUUGCUGUUUUGACGUUACCAACAGAAUAAGCACCGGCUAACUUCGUGCCAGCAGCCGCGGUAA
RNAcentral lists this ribosomal RNA (500 nucleotides) under uncultured bacterium. RNAcentral's name for it is "partial 16S ribosomal RNA". It matches the Rfam family "Bacterial small subunit ribosomal RNA", at positions 28 to 523 of the family's 1533-position model. The record is from RNAcentral.